This 901-nucleotide ribosomal RNA is filed under the name Streptomyces viridobrunneus. RNAcentral's name for it is "bacterial SSU rRNA". It matches the Rfam family "Bacterial small subunit ribosomal RNA", at positions 117 to 1038 of the family's 1533-position model. The record is from RNAcentral. Lineage: Bacteria; Bacillati; Actinomycetota; Actinomycetes; Kitasatosporales; Streptomycetaceae.
GUGGGCAAUCUGCCUUCACUCUGGGACAAGCCCGGAAACGGGGUCUAAUACGGAAUACGACCUGCCAAGGCAUCUUGGCGGGUGGAAAGCUCGGCGGUGAAGGAUGAGCCCGCGGCCUAUCAGCUUGUUGGUGAGGUAACGGCUCACCAGGCCGACGACGGGUAGCCGGCUGAGAGGGCGACCGGCCACACUGGGACUGAGACACGGCCCAGACUCUACGGGAGGCAGCAGUGGGGAAUAUUGCACAAUGGGCGAAAGCCUGAUGCAGCGACGCCGCGUGAGGGAUGACGGCCUUCGGGUUGUAAACCUCUUUCAGCAGGGAAGAAGCGAAAGUGACGGUACCUGCAGAAGAAGCGCCGGCUAACUACGUGCCAGCAGCCGCGGUAAUACGUAGGGCGCAGCGUUGUCCGGAAUUAUUGGGCGUAAAGAGCUCGUAGGCGGCUUGUCACGUCGGGUGUGAAAGCCCGGGGCUUAACCCCGGGUCUGCAUCCGAUACGGGCAGGCUAGAGUGUGGUAGGGGAGAUCGGAAUUCCUGGUGUAGCGGUGAAAUGCGCAGAUAUCAGGAGGAACACCGGUGGCGAAGGCGGAUCUCUGGGCCAUUACUGACGCUGAGGAGCGAAAGCGUGGGGAGCGAACAGGAUUAGAUACCCUGGUAGUCCACGCCGUAAACGUUGGGAACUAGGUGUUGGCGACAUUCCACGUCGUCGGUGCCGCAGCUAACGCAUUAAGUUCCCCGCCUGGGGAGUACGGCCGCAAGGCUAAAACUCAAAGGAAUUGACGGGGGCCCGCACAAGCAGCGGAGCAUGUGGCUUAAUUCGACGCAACGCGAAGAACCUUACCAAGGCUUGACAUAUACCGGAAACAUCCAGAGAUGGGUGCCCCCUUGUGGUCGGUAUACAGG